CCAUCUCCCAACAGUGCACGAGGCUGCUCUACCUGACCCUGACUACACUAUGAUUGUGGAUGGUUCUAGAUUCGCAGAUGUGCAGGGACAAUAUCAUACCAGAUAUGCAGUCACCACAGAGGACCAAAUACUCCAAGCAUCUUCACUCCCAUCAUCUAAGUCAGCACAAGAAGCCAAACUAACAGCCCUUGCGGUGGCAUGCAAGAUGUCUGAAGGGAAGC
Molecule: non-coding RNA, 221 nt
Organism: Pelobates cultripes (western spadefoot toad)
Lineage: Eukaryota; Metazoa; Chordata; Amphibia; Anura; Pelobatidae
Source: the annotation of a GenBank genome assembly